This 524-nucleotide ribosomal RNA is filed under the name uncultured bacterium. Its description in RNAcentral is "bacterial SSU rRNA". It matches the Rfam family "Bacterial small subunit ribosomal RNA", at positions 986 to 1509 of the family's 1533-position model. The record is from RNAcentral.
AUCCAGAGAAUUUAGCAGNGAUGCUUUAGUGCCUUCGGGAACUCUGAGACAGGUGCUGCAUGGCUGUCGUCAGCUCGUGUUGUGAAAUGUUGGGUUAAGUCCCGNAACGAGCGCAACCCUUAUCCUUUGUUGCCAGCACGUAAUGGUGGGAACUCAAAGGAGACUGCCGGUGAUAAACCGGAGGAAGGUGGGGAUGACGUCAAGUCAUCAUGGCCCUUACGAGUAGGGCUACACACGUGCUACAAUGGCGCAUACAAAGAGAAGCGACCUCGCGAGAGCAAGCGGACCUCAUAAAGUGCGUCGUAGUCCGGAUUGGAGUCUGCAACUCGACUCCAUGAAGUCGGAAUCGCUAGUAAUCGUAAAUCAGAAUGUUACGGUGAAUACGUUCCCGGGCCUUGUACACACCGCCCGUCACACCAUGGGAGUGGGUUGCAAAAGAAGUAGAUAGCUUAACCUUCGGGAGGGCGUUUACCACUUUGUGAUUCAUGACUGGGGUGAAGUCGUAACAAGGUAAGCGUAGUGCU